This 496-nucleotide ribosomal RNA is filed under the name uncultured bacterium. RNAcentral describes it as "partial 16S ribosomal RNA". It matches the Rfam family "Bacterial small subunit ribosomal RNA", at positions 29 to 507 of the family's 1533-position model. The record is from RNAcentral.
AUGAACGCUGGCGGCGUGCCUAAUACAUGCAAGUCGAGCGAACGGACGAGAAGCUUGCUUCUCUGAUGUUCGCGGCGGACGGGUGAGUAACACGUGGAUAACCUACCUAUAAGACUGGGAUAACUUCGGGAAACCGGAGCUAAUACCGGAUGAUAUUUUGAACCGCAUGGUUCAAAAGUGAAAGACGGUCUUGCUGUCACUUAUAGAUGGAUCCGCGCUGCAUUAGCUAGUUGGUAAGGUAACGGCUUACCAAGGCAACGAUGCAUAGCCGACCUGAGAGGGUGAUCGGCCACACUGGAACUGAGACACGGUCCAGACUCCUACGGGAGGCAGCAGUAGGGAAUCUUCCGCAAUGGGCGAAAGCCUGACGGAGCAACGCCGCGUGAGUGAUGAAGGUCUUCGGAUCGUAAAACUCUGUUAUUAGGGAAGAACAUAUGUGUAAGUAACUGUGCACAUCUUGACGGUACCUAAUCAGAAAGCCACGGCUAACUACGUG